GGCUCUGUGGCAGGGAGUGGGAGGGUGAUUAACAGGGGAAGAAUUAGGAAAGAGGACACGCAAGACCACAGUAAGAGAUGGAAAUAAGAGAAUAUUCCUGAUUUCCACUGGAUGACUUUGACUGGUAUGAUUUCAUUCUCUGAAAGUGUUAACCAGGGUGCAGCAUGGCCAGAAACCAUUCCGAGCCUCAUGAAGUGGGCAAGUCAGGUUUGGUCAUUUUUGGUAAUGUCAUUGCAUGUACACAGUUUAAGACAGAGCAUCUGGUGAUUCUCGGACCUUCAAGCAAGUGUCACAUCUCAGGUGAACCUUGGCAGUUUUAAGAUGAACAAAGUAAUCAAAGCAAAAAUGUCAAAUAAUAAUAAUAAUAAUGAUAUCAGAAGAAUGUCCAGUGCCAUGGUUGGAUUCCCAGAAGGCAGCAUCUGCUCAUGCCAUCAACAACAUGGUGCCAUUUCAGUCAUCCUCUUUUUGUCCCAAAGACAGAAAAAAAAUAGAAAAAAGAAAGAGAAAAAGACACCACGAACCGUCUAUCCUCCUGGUAAUACAAAUACACCUGUAAAUAAACAUGUCAAUGUCUACACACAACGCACAUUUAUGCAGAAUCCAUCCUCUCGGUGCUUCCGUAGUUAUCAAGUAAAAGUCCUUCUAAGCCUAAGAAAUGAUAGUAUUAAUUCAGUCUUGGGGUGUGGGGGGAAAGGUGGACUAUCAUCAAAUAAAAAAGGCGAGGCUAAUUAAGUGACAUCCACUGGGGACUGGGAAAAGAAGAGACUUCUUGUGGGAAAGUAAUUAUAUCUUCAUUGACCCUCCUGGGGUACCCCCAGUGGCAGGGACUCUGCCUCGCGGUGUGACAUCUCCUUUCGGGAUGAGCAGCCAGUCACCUCGAGAAGCCCCCUUCUCCAUGGAUGCGUUUUCUAAUCAUUUCACAUGAUUGAGCCUCCAGCAAGUGAUGCUUUACUUAAUUCCUUUCCGCCUGUAGGGUGUGAGGUUUGGAGGGCCUCUCGUCAAAACUUUGGAGGGCUCUGUCAGUUUGAAAAGAACAUGACCUUUAAAUUGUAUCAGUAUGUUUGCUGGUGCAUAAGGGAGAGGAAAAGGUUCGUCCUGAUGGAAAACCACUCAGAAGCCAAGGAGUAAUUCAGAGGGAACCAGCCCAGGAAGAAUCAAGAAAGCUGCCCACAGUGUCAUUCUUCAGCUGAGAAAAGAGAGAGUUGACUAACUCCUCGGACUGGAGUGAGGACUCACAGAGGUGGUGAGAAGCCAUCCUCUCUUGAAUGGGGGCUCCCACUGUACAUCUGGCACCCACUUCACAGAUUCUGGGGGAUGUCAACACCAGCACUGCUGAGCUGUGUGACCUUGAGCAAGACAGUUAGCCUCUCUGAACCUCAGUGUCCUUCUCUGUAGGCUGGAGAUUGAUAUACCUUCAUUAUCGGGGUAUGAGAGUGUUAUAAGGUGGGAUGGUGGAACACGCUGACUGGUCUGGGCUAUUCAAGAUCCAUGAACUGGAAGAUGCUUUCUUAUAACUCAGAGAAAAGAGAUGAAAAUGAAUCAAAGAACAGGAAGGAGACAAGCUCAGGAGAGUCACCCUAAGAAGGAUGUGUGGAAGACUUGACUGGAGGAUCAAAAUGUGUCGGGGGAAGGUGUACAAGGAGGAGUAAGGACACAGAUGUCCUGACUUCACACAGUGGGGGAUUAGAAGCCACCAUCAAACACAGAUGAAACAGGAAUAAAAGUAGUAGUACAUUACUUAAGCUUUAAAAGGGUAAGACUCCUGGGAAUUUGGAAGCUGAGACUUGAGGCAAGUAUUUAGGAUUUGCUGUCUCACCUCCCUGCUAUGACAGUCCUUAAUUAAUGGAGAUGAUGGAGAACAGCUUGCUGGGCUGAGUGGCAGGAGCCAUGCAGCUGCUGGGGCUGGAGUGGGUCAGGAAGCUUCAUCAAUCUGGGACACAUGACGUGCUUGGUGGUGGCGGAGCCUGACGCAUCCCUCUUCAUCGACAUUGUGUCAAUAGGAGCAGAGGCAUUUAGCUGUGUAAACACAGAGCUUCAGUGGCAGCACCCUAAAUGCUUAGCUGAUAGAUCCGGAAUUAAAUACAGACCUAGAAACUGGAGUUGGAAAACUUCCUGGCAGCACUCCUUCCCUGCCAUCCCGGUGAUCCCCUUCUGGAUGGAGGGUGUGGAGCUCAGCACAUUCACGUCUGCAGUUCUCAGAGAACCAAGUGUUAAGGAAUGUCAGGGAAGGAAGAAGGCAGCCAGCCAGGAAGGGGAGGUCCUGGCCUGAGCACGCCAGGCACAGAGGGAUAGAGGGUAGGGAGGAAACUGCACCUGUCUCCAACCCUCGACCCCAGCCCCGAAACACGACAUUGGCUGAAACAGAUUAAAAGCAUAAAAUGGCCCAAAGAAAUGGGAGAAGGUUGGCCUCUGGUCGGGCAAACAUGAGGGCAUGAAGAUAUAUAAUGUCCCACACGGGAGGAAACCCUUGCCGGGCCCCUCAGGAUUUAUAACAAGCUCACCUGAAGGAGAAACUUCAGGGGCACUUACACCAUCAGAUACCUAGAAAGGAGCUGUCAUUUCCUCACUGAAGAGUUUGCAAGCAGAUGGAAAAUGUGUGUCUGGAUCAUCUUGUGGCCCGAAUGGGGAGAAAAGCAGCACAAGAAUGGAAUAGUACAGUGGCUACGAACACAGAAACCACACUCCAGGCCCAGUCCCCGGCAGUGGCCUCCAGGACCCACUCUGAGCUAGAUCACAUCAGUGAUGGGCUGGCCAAUCUUUAAGGAGAAUGACUCUACUCUUAGGAAGCCAGCAGGUUGGAGGAGGAAACACAUUCAAAUCCCGAGCACAAGGAGCUGGGAGAAGACCGGUUAUGGGAGCGGCAUUCCUGGAAGCUCUGAAGUCACAGCCCCACUGAUGAAAGGAUGUAAGAACCUAAGAGUGGAAACCUGCCCCUGGGAUUCAUAUGGUGUCCCCUCAGGACUCAAACCCUGGUCUGGUAUGCUCAGUAAAUGAAUGAAUAUACCCACUACACCCCAGGUUAUUUUUUUUCUGAAGACAUCGUUUGACACAGAGGGAACACUGUAGAUAAGAAGCCCAACCCUGUUAGAAAGCAGAAGGGUUUGUUUGGGAAAAGGAAACAAAAUAUAUUUUUAAGCUCCAUAAACAUAUGAUGAAUGCUAACAAGGUAUUUUCAAAAUAAGAAGCACAUAGAAACAGCUUAUGUUUCUGGUCAAAUGAAGUUGUAAUCAAAUCGUUAUCAAAGCAAAAAAAAAGAGAGGAAGAAAUCAAAAUGAGUCAGAAGAGUUUUUGGAAAGAUUCAGCAACUUAACUGACUUGAAGAGAUUUCCCUUGUCUCAGUCUUACUGCUGCUUCUAGGGGAACACAGUUUUGCACGGGAAUCGAGGCCAACUUGCAACCCACAGGCACUCUGGAGGAACAAAGAAAGUAUCGCCUGCAACUCACCACGGUCUCUCUCUCUUAAGCCCUUGCUCUUGCCAGAAGAAGUUUCACACAAAGGUUUGCCUGCGAGGCUGCGCUUUCCUCUCCAGAUCAGCAGAAACAACUUACCAGCAGAAAUACUUAAUGACGGAGCCAAGACUGGCACAGCCACGCGGUCACAGCUUUGUUCCCAAGAAGCAAGCCAAUUAGCAGCCCUGGUUAUUAUUUACAUUUCCCGCAAUAUAUCACUAAAAUUGUGUUGAUGAUUUAUCAUUUAUAUUAUGUUAUUGUCAGCAUAAUUUAUUCAGAUCAUGCUGAGAUACCUGGAAAAUUAAGUAAAAGAAAAAGAAGUGGCAUUGAAUUCAUCGGGUUUGAAAGAUAUUUCUCAGCUUCUUUUUUCUCUCCCUCUCUUUCUCUCUCUCUCUCUCUUUUAAUGAGGAUAGAUGUUAAGAAAAAUCAUGGAUCACUUAGCUAUUAAAUUGUUCCAGGAUCAUCUGCAUUAAAAGUUUGCUCAGUAUUCUUUUGUGAGAGAACAUGGCUUGGGCGUUCAUUUGGAUUUUCUUCUGGAACCUUUUCUUUCAGUCUAUUAUUUCAAAGUAAAAAAAAAAGGAAAUGCAAUCCUCUUUAGUUUAGAGCAAAGCAGAGUGGAUUAAUGAGGGGCUGGAGGCUUCUCUUCCAAUUUAUAAAACAUCCUUAUCUUCUGCCUUAUAUUCUAUUUGCCCCACCCUCUGGGAAAUAAUUGUUGCUUAUCAGAAUUAGAGAUAAAAUAUUCCAGUUGUUGAAGCCAUUCAUCAUCUAGGCAUUCUAGAAAAGCAGUUACUGAACUAGAGGCAGCAUUUUGAGCAUCAGAGCUCUGGGUUCUAGUCCCAGGUCUGUCCAGGCUUUGUGUGAUUCCAGGAGUCACUGAAGCUAUCCUGCUUCUGUUUCCCCAGCAGUGGGAUUCAUGGAUGUCCAGGAUCAGGCUUGCUGGGUCUGCCCCAGGUCUUCAGAAUCAGACUGCCUGGGGAAGGCACAUGGAGGUCUUUUUGACAGGUGUCAUAGGUGAUACUUCUACACACUUCAGUUAGAAAAGUCAUUGGGCUUACAUAUGCCUGCAGCCACUUCCAGCUCCAGUCUUCCUAGAGUUCUACGGACUCUAAUUAUAUGGCAUGUUUUGCAUAUUUCUGAAACUUCAUAUGGGAAACAAACUUUUGGAAAUUGAUUCAUUUAAGAAUCUGUGGCCAGGCGUGGUGGCUCACGACUGUAAUCCCAGCACUUUGGGAGGCUGA
This 4688-nucleotide long non-coding RNA is filed under the name Homo sapiens (human). RNAcentral's name for it is "HSALNT0397354". Lineage: Eukaryota; Metazoa; Chordata; Mammalia; Primates; Hominidae. The record is from RNAcentral.